This is a long non-coding RNA of Salvia splendens (bonfire salvia), 550 nucleotides long. RefSeq lists it as uncharacterized. Lineage: Eukaryota; Viridiplantae; Streptophyta; Magnoliopsida; Lamiales; Lamiaceae. The record is from RefSeq and is a predicted model, not a curated record. The transcript is spliced from 3 exons.
UAUUAGUACAACUGAAUGGUAAUUGGUUCUCUUAACUGAAAAAAUACAACCGCCGCCUCUUUCAAUCGGAAACACCAUCGGAGAAAAAAUGGGGGCGGAGGCCGAGAAUAAUCAGCAAGCACCAACACCUGCGACAAAUCCGAGCCCCAAUCCCAUCACAGAAGCUCAAUUCGCCGCCUGGAAACGCCGAAAGGAUGCCGAUGCUGAUGCCAUAAAAUUGGCAGCUGCAAGGAAGCGUGAGGAGGAUAUAGCAGCAGGGGUGGUUCAGAUGAACGGCCGUGAACUCUUUGAGCGGGAACCAUGGGUUUUCAAUGACACAAAUUACUAAGGAAAAUCAUUGGUCUUGUAAGAUGGUGUAUUUGCAUGGUUGCAAAAUCCAAACGAUGGGAUUUUGUGUUGGAGAAAAAUCUAUAUAUUAUACUGAAACAAAGUUGUAUCUCAGAUUAUAUUGUAUGCGUCAAAUUUGAGUUUGCAGUAUAUGUGAAGUUUGUUACUCUUUUUUAUUUUAUGGCUUAAUGUGACAUGUUAAUGAUCAAAAGUUUAAGAUUAA